UACGUAGGGGGCUAGCGUUAUCCAGAUUUACUGGGCGUAAAGGGUGCGUAGGCGGUCUUUCAAGUCAGGAGUGAAAGGCUACGGCUCAACCGUAGUAAGCUCUUGAAACUGUAAGACUUGAGUGCAGGAGAGGAGAGUGGAAUUCCUAGUGUAGCGGUGAAAUGCGUAGAUAUUGGGAAGAACACCGGUGGCGAAGGCGACUUGCUGGGCAGCAACUGACGCUGAGGCGCGAAAGUCAGGGGAGCAAACGGGAUUAGAUACCCGGGUAGUCCCUGA
Molecule: ribosomal RNA, 276 nt
Filed under: uncultured prokaryote
Description: partial 16S ribosomal RNA
Rfam family: Bacterial small subunit ribosomal RNA
Source: RNAcentral